ACCAGAGCACCGAGAAAGUUAACUUCCAACUGAUUCUUAAGCUGCCCAUACGUUUGCCAUUCGAAUUCGCCGAAGACCAUCACGGCUGCGUUAUUGAUUACACAUCGUAACACUGGAAUCGAUAUUCUAUUAUAUAGACUAUGGUUAUAAAUUACCCAUAUUAGUGACAAUGGUUACCUGAGAUCCGUGAAACGAAACAAGUGACACAAGAUAUGGUUAGUAUUUCAGCUGUUAUAUGAGCCGCUCAAAAGCAGAAAGCAGAAAAGGAAAGUAAUGAUAUUAAAAGUUCUAUAUUUUAGCUUA
Bombus terrestris (buff-tailed bumblebee) is the source of this 303-nucleotide long non-coding RNA. RefSeq lists it as uncharacterized. The record is from RefSeq and is a predicted model, not a curated record. The transcript has 2 exons. NCBI's taxonomy places the organism in Eukaryota, Metazoa, Arthropoda, Insecta, Hymenoptera, Apidae.